Molecule: ribosomal RNA, 254 nt
Filed under: uncultured Scutellospora
Lineage: Eukaryota; Fungi; Glomeromycota; Glomeromycetes; Diversisporales; Gigasporaceae
Description: partial 18S ribosomal RNA
Rfam family: Eukaryotic small subunit ribosomal RNA
Source: RNAcentral
AAGCUCGUAGUUGAAUUUCGGGGCUCUACCGUUGGUCGGGCUUUGUCUGUACUGGCGUGUAGAAUUUCUACCUUCUGGGGAACCAUUAUGUUAUUAAUUUAGCGUGGUGGGAAACCAGGACCUUUACCUUGAAAAAAUUAGAGUGUUCAAAGCAGGCUUAUGUCUGAAUACAUUAGCAUGGAAUAAUAGAAUAGGACGGUGGUCCUGUUUUGUUGGUUUCUGAAUCACCGCAAUGAUUAAUAGGGAUAGUUGGG